UUUAGUAGAUUACAAUACAGACUGUAAAUGUGCGGGAGAUUUUAUUGAUAUUGAAGCUUGUAAACAAAACCAAUAAACGUAGGACUUAUUCACGGCAAUGUAUGGGAACCAGUCUAAAAGGCAAAGAAAAUUCCGCCAAGUAAACAACAAAGAAAGGGAUUUGGGAUGUUGUCAGUUGUAUACAUUAUGUGCGACGGUGACUGCAAGAAACAAGGAAUGUGGAGCUAAUGCAUGCUGGUAAGGAUGGAAAGGUCUUGUGUUUAUUGGUUGUGCCUGAGACACCAGUCACAGUUGUACCUUAUUUCCAUUUUAGGGAGUCUAUAUACAUUUGAGGUGAGCGGCAGAUUUAAUUUUGAAGAUGGAUGACUUUCAGAUGUUGUGAUGAAGAUUGUUGAAAGGGAUUAUCAACAUAAAACCAAUCCAUAUGAAUUGGCGAGUCAGAAACAAGGAAUGUGGAGCUAGUGCGUGCUGCUAAGGAUGGAAAGGUCUUGUGUUUAUUUGUUGUGCCUGAGACACCAGUCACAGUUGUACCUUAUUUCCAUUUUAGGUAAUGUCUUUUGAGUUUUUUUAAGUAGAGGGAACACUGCAUUUUUCAUUCAAUAUAAAUGUAAAAUUAUAGAGAUAACUUUUUUUUCACCAUUGCUGGAUACUCACUACAUGAUUUUAUCUAAAGAAAAGUAUUUAAAUUAUUUUCUCACAUUUUUUAAAGAGGCCG
Saccostrea cuccullata (small rock oyster) is the source of this 715-nucleotide long non-coding RNA. RefSeq lists it as uncharacterized. The transcript has 4 exons. The record is from RefSeq and is a predicted model, not a curated record. Lineage: Eukaryota; Metazoa; Mollusca; Bivalvia; Ostreida; Ostreidae.